This is a non-coding RNA of Zonotrichia albicollis (white-throated sparrow), 2633 nucleotides long. Lineage: Eukaryota; Metazoa; Chordata; Aves; Passeriformes; Passerellidae. The record is from RefSeq and is a predicted model, not a curated record.
CCCAAGGCCAGGUUGGAGCACCCUGGGUCAGUGGAAGGUGUCACUGCGGGACUGAUUGGGCUUUAAGGUCCUUUCCAACCCAAAGCAUUCCAUGGUUCCAUGACUCCUGAGGCUGAAAGCAGGGCUUGCAGAGAGCCAGAGCUCAGCCCUGGGGCUGCAGCACUGCCUGCACCUGAUGCUGGAUGCAGGAACUCUCAUUAAAGCCCCUGGUGUCAGGUGAUCCCACCCAGAGCUGUCACCAAACCCUACCCACACACAGAACUCUUGUCCAGCCUGGAGCCCAUCCCCUACAGCCAGAAAUAAACCAUUCCCACAGCUGAUUCAUCCCAUCCCAAAGGAGGUGACAGACUCCUUCCCUGGGACAGAGGGAACCCAGCAUGAUGGGACUGGAGGGGAGCGAGGAUAACAGAGCUCAGCGCUUCUCCUGGAUAACAACAACUGAGUGGGUGUUUCAGUGGGAUUUGUGCUCUUUUGGUACUUCAGGGAGAGGCUGGAGCAGAGCCAAGGGAGAAGGGUAUCCCUGCAAUCUUGGGGACAGCAGCUGGUGGCUGGGCUCAGUGCUGUGGUGCACCAGACUGUGUUAGAAACCACUGGAACCAGAACCUUGGCUGGGAACACGAGCAGCAGGACCACAGAGGUGCUGAGGAGAUGCCUUUAAACCAAGAUUUAAAACACUGACCUCUGGCCAGAGAAAUUCUUUGUGAGCAAGAAAUAAAAGAUGUCUUUGCAGAGGUGUUGAGGCAUGAACUAUGGGAACUUCAACAUAUUUAUGUAUAGAAUGUGUUGGGGAACAACAUAGUUCUGUUUUCAUGGUGAUCAAAGUUUUGCAAGAAGGAGGACUUGAGACAGUGUGCUGAGCUGCUAUGGCAACAUGAAUUUUAAAAAAUAAACUGACUUGCAAGAGCUUAUCUUUUCCUCUUUAGUGUGGUGCAGAACAGAUCUGGGAGCCCUCUGCCUGAAAGGGAUCCUGUGAGGUGCUCACCUCUGCUUCUGGGCCAGGUGUAUUGCAAAAUGCAUAAAACAUAUCCCUCGUGGCAAGGGGAAAAUUAUUCCAUGACUGGCUUUGCACCCCAAAGAGCCAAGUCACGGUGCUUCUGUCACUGUGUGUUUAUCACAGCUCAGAUUCUCAGAUGUUGGGGUGGAUGCAGCACGAAGCACUUGGGCUGUGCUGGCAUCCUAUUCUGGGAGCAGGGUGGGCUGCCAGGCGCUGCUCAGGGGUGAAUUCCACCCACGGCAGGCGUUUCCAAGAGCACCAUGACGUGGGCUCGGCUUACAGCUCGGCUUUCAAGCCACCCGCACAAAAUGUAGAGGCAGCGGUGUCAGGAACCCUCCCUGACAGCUCCUUUCAGGAGGGGAUGCUGUGAGGAGCUGUCACGCUCUGAGUCAGCUGUUCUUCCAGGCCUGGCAUUCCAGGCAGGAAGAGCCUGCUUGAAGAACCAUCCCAACCACGCCGCCUGCCAAAACCACACUGGGAAUCCCAUGGGAACCAGCCCUCUCCCGGGCCAGCUGGUACUUCCUGCUCCCGAGGCCUGAUCCUGCUGGAUGCUGAGCAUUCUUUGUUCCAUUUUUAAAUUAAUGAGGCUCCAGCAAUGCACGGUCCCAGAGCCCGGGGAAGAAACAGCCCCUCGGUGUUUUCAGCACUUUGGCCCAGCUGGAGAGGAGAGGGAAAUGUCAGGCUUGAAGAGAUGCCUGGAGAACAGAUCCAUAACCCGGAGAUUUUAGCCAGGUUCUCCGAGCUGGCCAUGCCCCCACACACAGCUCUCCUCCCCACAGGCUGUGACUCCCAAAGCUGGCAGCCCCAUCUCUGCAGAGAAGGACGAGGAUCACAGCGUGGGACUCGCUCCCAUCCUGUCCCAACAGUGUCCCCUUGAGGCUGGUGCUGAGGCAGCCUGGGAAGAGCUCUCGUGGAGGUGCAGGGGAACCCCAGAAGCUGCUCCAAACAACAAAUCCAUCCCAGCAGUUGCGGAUCAGCCUGAGUGAAGGAUGCUGGAGGAGCCCACCCCACAGCGGGUGUGGGACCUCCACACUUGGGAGAACACUCAGGAAUACCUUGGAUGUCUAAGUUGCUGCAGAGAGCUAAUUCCUCCAGGUGACUCCAGGCAGCGAUAAGUGGGCUCCUGCACAGCGAGGGGUUUGAAGUGCCAGAGCUGAAAGCGCUCCCAGCUCUGGCACGCCAGGCCUCCAGCAGGGGACACAGCCUCAGAUGUCACAGCACGGGGGCAGCAGGGGCCUCUGGAGCUGUCAUUUCCAACCUGCAUUUCCAACUGGAGGGCCAGGCACAGGCUUGAGAUGCCCUGUGCCCCCAGGGAAAAGGUUGAAGGAUAUUGGGGGAAAAGAUAUUUCGAAGAUAUUGGGGAAUAAAAAUCAGUGCCCUGAAGGGAUAAAUGUUGGGAAGUGCCAGUGCUGGCCUCUGGGAUAGGUGUGUACCUGGCUGCACUGGGUGUCCCAGCCCUGGCAGAGCAGCAGAUUUGCAUCUGAGCUCUUUCCUCUGGUGUGGAAGAUGAGCAUGAGGAGUAUUCAAAGGCAAGGAGGUGCCCAAGAGAAUCCCAAAACCAAUGAGAGAAGUAUUUACAGAAGAAUGGCUCUUAUCAUAUGUACAUAAUAUUAAAUAUAAUAUUAUUUUGUCUGACAAA